UGGGGAAUAUUGCGCAAUGGGCGAAAGCCUGACGCAGCGACGCCGCGUGAGGGAUGAAGGUUUUCGGAUCGUAAACCUCUGUCACAAGGGAAGAAACCGCACUGUGCUAAUCAGCAGUGCCUUGACGGUACCUUCAAAGGAAGCACCGGCUAACUCCGUGCCAGCAGCCGCGGUAAUACGGAGGGUGCAAGCGUUAAUCGGAAUUACUGGGCGUAAAGCGCACGUAGGCUGCUUUGUAAGUCAGGGGUGAAAUCCCACGGCUCAACCGUGGAACUGCCUUUGAUACUGCUUAGCUUGAAUCCGGGAGAGGGUGGCGGAAUUCCAGGUGUAGGAGUGAAAUCCGUAGAUAUCUGGAGGAACAUCAGUGGCGAAGGCGGCCACCUGGACCGGUAUUGACGCUGAGGUGCGAAAGCGUGGGGAGCAAACAGG
Molecule: ribosomal RNA, 429 nt
Filed under: Fusobacteriota bacterium
Lineage: Bacteria; Fusobacteriati; Fusobacteriota
Description: Fusobacteria bacterium partial 16S ribosomal RNA
Rfam family: Bacterial small subunit ribosomal RNA
Source: RNAcentral